RNAcentral lists this ribosomal RNA (540 nucleotides) under uncultured bacterium. RNAcentral describes it as "bacterial SSU rRNA". It matches the Rfam family "Bacterial small subunit ribosomal RNA", at positions 11 to 537 of the family's 1533-position model. The record is from RNAcentral.
GUUUGAUCAUGGCUCAGAUUGAACGCUGGCGUGCAGGCCUAACACAUGCAAGUCGAGCGGUAGCACAGUGGAGCUUGCUCCUGGGUGACGAGCGGCGGACGGGUGAGUAAUGUCUGGGAAACUGCCUGAUGGAGGGGGAUAACUACUGGAAACGGUAGCUAAUACCGCAUAACGUCUUCGGACCAAAGUGGGGGACCUUCGGGCCUCAUGCCAUCAGAUGUGCCCAGAUGGGAUUAGCUAGUAGGUGGGGUAACGGCUCACCUAGGCGACGAUCCCUAGCUGGUCUGAGAGGAUGACCAGCCACACUGGAACUGAGACACGGUCCAGACUCCUACGGGAGGCAGCAGUGGGGAAUAUUGCACAAUGGGCGCAAGCCUGAUGCAGCCAUGCCGCGUGUAUGAAGAAGGCCUUCGGGUUGUAAAGUACUUUCAGCGAGGAGGAAGGCAUUAAGGUUAAUAACCUUGGUGCAUUGACGUUACUCGCAGAAGAAGCACCGGCUAAACUCCGUGCCAGCAGCCCGCGGUAAUACGGAGGGUGCAA